CGAGGGCGGGCCGCGGAGUCCCAUCCGGGCUGGGCGGGACUUCAACGCGGGGUGCCGAGGCCGCAUGGCCACAGCCCCUCCCUGCCGCUUUGCUCUGGCUCCGCUGGGUCCCAGAGACGCUGGGGCCGGAGCUGCUGCCGCCAUCUACACCUCUACCCUUCGUUUGACGGGUUCGCCUCCCACCAGCGCCUGGGCAAGUGACAUCUGGGCCGGACCGGCUGGUGCUGCGCUUCGCAGCCUCCCUGAACAUA
RNAcentral lists this long non-coding RNA (251 nucleotides) under Macaca mulatta (Rhesus monkey). RNAcentral's name for it is "lncRNA (ENSMMUG00000054869.1)". Lineage: Eukaryota; Metazoa; Chordata; Mammalia; Primates; Cercopithecidae. The record is from RNAcentral.